Molecule: long non-coding RNA, 171 nt
Organism: Sapajus apella (tufted capuchin)
Lineage: Eukaryota; Metazoa; Chordata; Mammalia; Primates; Cebidae
Exons: 3
Source: RefSeq, a predicted model, not a curated record
CCUGGGAGACAGAGUGAGACUCCAUCUCAAUUAAUCAAUCCAUCAAUAAUAUAUAAUAACAAGCUAUCCAGGUGAUUCUGAUGCAGGCCAGAAUUUGAACACCAUCUCUCCUCCAGGUCCAGACUCUGAGAGAUUUAACACAGGAUGACAAAUAUUUGUUCAGCACCUGCU